Non-coding RNA from Pelobates cultripes (western spadefoot toad), 285 nucleotides. NCBI's taxonomy places the organism in Eukaryota, Metazoa, Chordata, Amphibia, Anura, Pelobatidae. The record is from the annotation of a GenBank genome assembly.
CCUAGUUCAUGCGAUGCGGCAUGACGUGGCCCGCUGUUUUGCGUUGUUCCGGGACCUGACCCUCGUCUGGUCCGAGAUCGUUCCGCGCCCGGUAUGGCGGUCCGGGGGGCAUGGUAAGGCUUUGGAGCGCUAUAGGCGUAAGGUUAAUAUGACCAUGUCUCGGUUUGUACGCCAACGGGGGGGUAUAGUUGUGAGGCACUUUGAGUUGGAAGGGGUUAAUGAUGAUGUAAUGAGACGGGAUGGUGUUCAUUUGUCCCCCAUUGGGUUAGAUAUUUUCAAUAUGGG